This is a long non-coding RNA of Pseudophryne corroboree (corroboree frog), 425 nucleotides long. RefSeq lists it as uncharacterized. NCBI's taxonomy places the organism in Eukaryota, Metazoa, Chordata, Amphibia, Anura, Myobatrachidae. The transcript has 3 exons. The record is from RefSeq and is a predicted model, not a curated record.
CCCCAUGGUCCUUACGGAGUUCCCAGCAUCCACUAGGACGUCAGAGAAAGGAACUGUUGUUAAUUGGACACUCAGUUGAAAACACAGGGGAAUUAUAAGAUGAAUGGAAACCGUUGUGCAGAUGAAACCAGGAUGGUGUGGAAGAAUAUACAGGAGAAAAGCAAACAAGGAGACAGAAGAUUUUAAUCCAUUCAGCUAUUCAAAUUCAUUCAGUUAAGAAGCAUAUCCUAUCUCCCAACAUAGUAGUAUCCUGCUCAAACAAGUCACAGGAUGCUCCUGCCCCUAUGGCCCCUCCUGGCUCAGUACUGCUUCAAGUCCAUGCUGCGACGCCUUAGUUCCUACAACAAUGUCCUGGUCAACAAUUUGCGCCAUCUGCACUGGAGCUGGUACCGGAGCCUUCAUCAAUGACUGGAAUGCCAACUAAC